UACAGAGGUCUCAAGCGUUGUUCGGAUUCAUUGGGCGUAAAGGGUGCGUAGGUGGCGGGGUUAGUCAGGUGUGAAAUCUCGGGGGCUCAACCCCGAACUAGCACUUGUAUACUGCCGUUCGUCGUAGAGGUACUUCGGUAGGAGGAGGAUUGGUAAGUUUAACGGUUGGUAGCAGUGAAAUAGCGUAGAUAUCGUAAGGAAGACCACGUGGCGAA
This 215-nucleotide ribosomal RNA is filed under the name uncultured bacterium. RNAcentral describes it as "partial 16S ribosomal RNA". It matches the Rfam family "Bacterial small subunit ribosomal RNA", at positions 524 to 719 of the family's 1533-position model. The record is from RNAcentral.